CCCCACCCCACCCUCAAGAAAAAUUCUCCAGACAGACUAAUGAGGAGGAUUGAUGGUGCUACCACCCUUUUCACUAGGGAGGCAUCUCAGAAGCCGAGGAGACGAGAAAAAACAACAUCAACUUUUAAUCGAGAUUGCAGAUUCAGAAAAGAUUCAUAAGUGAAAUGAUUCCCUAAGGAAAUAUAAAAAGUUACUUACGGCAUUGCUAAAUUGGGCAUGCUUCAAUCAGGGGCUGUUGAGAAAUCAUUAAUAAUAUUAGCAGCUGAUAUUUAUUGAGCAGGAACAGUGUGCCCGGCACUGGGCUGGGCUUUGCACACCUCUUUCACUAGAGGACCACACCCACUCAAAGCAGGUGCUGUUAUUCUCUAGCAGGAGAGAAAGGGGCUGAGAGAGGCUCUAGCACUUGCGGGUAGCCACACCGAAGAGCUGGAGCUAGACUUGGAAGCAGGUCAGCCUGGCCCAUGGCUGUGCCCCAGCCCCAGGCGGGCAGAGCCAGGCCCUAGGGGGAGGAGGCAGUCUUGCCAGGCCUGAGGCCCAGCCUGUCCUCCCCGCGGAGCCGCCUCCUCCCCUGGGCUGCGUGACAUCUGCCCCGCUUCCCGGCCCCAGACAGCUGCCCAGAGCCACGUCAGCACUUCCAACCGGGGAGUCUGGAAACUGGCUCAGGCCCCUGAGCGAGAAGGGGACAGGGGGCUGCGGGUCCUCCGACGGGAUGGUUUUCAGAGGGUGACCCACUCAGCUGAGCAGGGAAUGGGUCGGCAUGACCUUGGGCCGAGCUUCUAUGAACCUCAGUUUCCCGUGCUCGGGUGUGUGUU
RNAcentral lists this long non-coding RNA (812 nucleotides) under Homo sapiens (human). RNAcentral's name for it is "non-protein coding lnc-TMEM173-3:7". The record is from RNAcentral. Lineage: Eukaryota; Metazoa; Chordata; Mammalia; Primates; Hominidae.